GCGAAUCGCCCUUCGGGGUGCACAGGCGCGAAAACUUUACAAUGCCGGCAACGGCGAUAAGGGGACCUCGAGUGCCAGGUUACAAAUCUGGCUGUCGUGAUGCCUAAAAAGCAUUGCAUAGCAAGGGCCGGGCAAGACCGGUGCCAGCCGCCGCGGUAACACCGGCGGCUCGAGUGGUAACCGUUAUUAUUGGGUCUAAAGGGUCUGUAGCCGGCCGGAUAAGUCUCUUGGGAAAUCUGGCAGCUUAACUGUCAGGCUUUCAGGAGAUACUGUCUGGCUCGAGGCCGGGAGAGGUGAGAGGUACUUCAGGGGUAGGGGUGAAAUCUUGUAAUCCUUGAAGGACCACCAGUGGCGAAGGCGUCUCACCAGAACGGACCUGACGGCAAGGGACGAAAGCUAGGGGCACGAACCGGAUUAGAUACCCGGGUAGUCCUAGCCGUAAACGAUACUCGCUAGGUGUCGGCCACGGUGCGACCGUGGUCGGUGCCGUAGGGAAGCCGUGAAGCGAGCCACCUGGGAAGUACGGCCGCAAGGCUGAAACUUAAAGGAAUUGGCGGGGGAGCAC
This 565-nucleotide ribosomal RNA is filed under the name uncultured archaeon. Its description in RNAcentral is "bacterial SSU rRNA". It matches the Rfam family "Archaeal small subunit ribosomal RNA", at positions 313 to 879 of the family's 1478-position model. The record is from RNAcentral.